UCCUCCUUGUCUUCUUCCGACUCCUUGUCUUCUUCCGAUUUAUUAGCAGAAGAAUUUUCAACAUUGCCAUCAACAUCACUUGACUCUACAAUUUCUUUUGCUUUCCUUUUCUUCUCAUAUUUUUUUAAUUUUUUUGUCUUUUAAAGGAGGAGUUCUUUUCAAUCGUUUUUUUUUUAAAUAUCAGCCAUCUUCAAAGAGCCGUUACGAAACUUGGACCUAAGCUUCUUUGUACUCAUUGAUUUCUUCAACUCUGUAGGAGUAGAAACAACUUUAAAUACUUCGUCUUGAGUUAAUCUAAGACUAAAAGAUGGUCAUUAUCAGACAAAAAAUUAAUAGGUGGUAUACCCUUAUUUAUACGUGAUUUUGAUGUUUUUUCUUCCAUUUGAGCAUAAAAAUUUCAAAUUCGAAGUUGCUAAUGGUGGGAAUUAUGAAAAACAAAUUUUUUUUUUGAUAAAUUGAUAAUAUGCAAUAACUGAAUUUAUUAGUUACCUGAAAUUAAAGAAUACUAUCCUUAUUAGAUUGUGCAAAAAGCGUUUACUAGGAAAAAAUUUUGAAAGAGAAAAUCUGAUAUUAAGAGUGAAAAAGGGUAAAGUUUGAAGCAAUGAAAGGAAGGAGAAAGAUAUGGGGCAUGAAAAAAGAAAUCUUAAACACGGUAACUUUUGAAAGACGGUAAGUGAGGGACCACAUUUAAAAUAAUGUUAGUUUUGCUACACAAUGUAAUUUCAUUAAAGUAUUGCUAUUUUUUAUAAUUUAAAUCUUAAGUAUGCUACUUCUUAUAGUUUUUCCUAUUGUGUAUAAAUGAGUGAACCGUAAGGAGUAGACUAUAGGUGGAUGCAUUGAAAGUAAGGUAUGGACAGAUUGACUUAAUAACAUGGUGUUGUAUUACUCUUUCAAUUAUAUUUUAACAUCGUAGUUUAAUUGGAAGUGAAAUUUAAAAAUAUAAAAAAAAGAAUUAAGAAUGUGAUUUAACUAAAGAUGCAAAUAUUAUCAAAAUAUCUUUUGAAUCUUGUGACCUCAAAAAUAAUAUCACGUGAGAUAAUAGAGCUAAAAAUGCAAAAUGAAUCACAGUAAGUACAAAUAAUACAAUAUUGAGAGGGAUUUAUUUUUCUCUUUUUUUUUAAUUUGAUAAAGCUGAGUCAACUUUAGCAGAUAUUGCAAGCAAAAACUAGAAAUUUGAACGAGUAUGAAAAGGGGAAAAAGAAAGAACUUCUCUUUAUUGAAUAUGGAGAAAAGGUCAAAUACAGUAGCUCAAAGAAAUCUAUAGUAGUAAUAAUCCAAGGUCCCACAUUCAGCAACCUGGCCCAAAACGCGCUUAAGGACAAUGAUUAUGAGUCAUUUUCUUGAAAGUAAGCACAUCACUAUUUAAACAUUGAAGCUGACUAAUAGACAGCAACAACCAAACAAAUACAAAGCAAUAGUUGAAUGGAGAUAAUUCAGCAAACUGUUUAGGAAAAAAAUCAAGAAGGCUUGAUGGAGACUGAGAAAGUAGCAGGCAUUCAUGGUUGUUGCCCAAAUCCUCUCCUUAUACUACUCGAGCAUCCGAACCAGCAGCCUAUUUCCAAGAUCAAAAGCACAACUGCCGCUUGCCGCCACAGCUUUGCAGCCACAACAACUUCCUCUUUCUUCCCAAAUACUCAUUUCACUAACCAUGAAUCCCUUCCUUCAUAUCAAGAAUCAUUUGCUCAGUUCCUCAAAGCCUAUCCAAAGUAUUCAGAAACUCGCCAAGUCGACAAAAUUCGGAAUCAAGAAUACUAUCAUCUGUCAGUUUCCAAUCAUGUGUGCCUGGAUUAUAUUGGCAUUGGUCUCUUCUCUUACUCACAGGUUCAAUCACAGGUUACUGCACUUGUCCCGGUGACAUCCUCUUCUACUCCGUCGUCUCAUGAAUGGAGCGAUUAUCCUUUCUUUGACAUAUCUUGCAAGUCUGUCAAUCUCAAAUCCGAGCUAUUACAUGGUGGUCAUGGAUCACAAUUGGAAUCCAGUAUCAAGAAAAAGAUUAUGAAUUUUCUUAACAUAUCUCCAAAUGAAUAUUCCUUGGUUUUUACUGCUAAUAGAUCAUCAGCUUUCAAGCUUAUAGCGGAAUCAUACCCUUUCAAAACUAGUCAAAAGCUUCUUACUGCUUAUGACCAUGAGAGUGAAGCAUUGGAGACCAUGGUCAAUACAUCAGAAAAAAGAGGGGCCAACAUAAUGUCGGCAGAAUUCAAGUGGCCACGGCUAAGAAUUAACUCCGCAAAACUCAGGAAACUAAUUAUAAGGAAGAAUAAGAAGAAAAAGAAAUCCAGGGGACUGUUUGUUUUCCCCCUUCAGUCAAGAGUGACUGGAGCCAGUUACUCUUAUCAGUGGAUGAGUUUGGCGCAGGAAAAUGGUUGGCAUGUCUUGCUUGAUGCAUGUGCAUUGGGACCAAAGGACAUGGAUAGCUUCGGACUUUCUCUCAUCCAUCCUGACUUCCUUAUUUGCUCUUUCUACAAGGUUUUUGGUGAAAAUCCUACAGGGUUCGGGUGCCUUCUUGUCAAGAAAUCAGUUGUAUCGGUGUUGGAAGCUUCUGUUAGUACAGGCAAUGUAAGUCUUAUUCCACCAACGCAACUCUUAAAUUCACUAGAUUCAUCAGGCAGUGGCACGGAGCUUGAACAAAAAACCAACUUUGUUACCAAACUGGAUGAGCUGCAUAUAUCUGGCUCUUAUUCAGCUCACAAUGGUAAAUCUGAAAACAAUUUGAACUCAACGAAAGAGGGAGGAGUUGCUCCAAAGGAAAAGAGCAAAGAGGAAUCAGAUCAAUCCAUUAGUACACUAGGCAACAACACUAAGCUGGAAGAAAAGGGAAGCAUAGAGAUUCAAUGCAGGUGCUUAGAUCAUGUGGAUUCGCUGGGACUGAUGCAAAUUGGUAGUAGAAGAAGGUAUCUAGUCAAUUGGCUUAUUAGUGGACUCCUGAAACUUCAGCAUCCAAAUAGAUUGGACCAUUUUCCUCUGGUCAAAAUUUAUGGACCAAAGAUAAAAUUUGAUAGGGGAACGGCUAUGGCAUUUAAUCUGUUUGACUGGAAAGGAGAAAGGGUGGAACCAAUUCUUAUUCAGAAACUUGCUGACCGAAACAAUAUAUCUCUCAGCCAUGGAUUUCUGUCACACUUGUGGUUUCCAGACAAGUAUGAGGAAGAGAAGCAGCGGACUAUAGAAAGAAAAAAGGGUGACGAAAACGAUGCAGAGAGCAAAAAAUCUAAAAAAACUGACCUUAGGAUAUCAGUAGUUACCAUUGCCCUUGGCUUUCUGGCCAACUUUGAAGACGUUUA
Molecule: long non-coding RNA, 3278 nt
Filed under: Capsicum annuum
Lineage: Eukaryota; Viridiplantae; Streptophyta; Magnoliopsida; Solanales; Solanaceae
Description: long non-coding RNA (CANN_LNC004637)
Source: RNAcentral